AGGACGAACGCUGGCGGCGUGCUUAACACAUGCAAGUCGAGCGGUAAGGCCUUUCGGGGUACACGAGCGGCGAACGGGUGAGUAACACGUGGGUGAUCUGCCCUGCACUUCGGGAUAAGCCUGGGAAACUGGGUCUAAUACCGGAUAUGACCUCCUAUCGCAUGGUGGGUGGUGGAAAGAUUUAUCGGUGCCGGAUGGGCCCGCGGCCUAUCAGCUUGUUGGUGGGGUAAUGGCCUACCAAGGCGACGACGGGUAGCCGACCUGAGAGGGUGACCGGCCACGACUGGGACUGAGACACGGCCCAGACUCCUACGGGAGGCAGCAGUGGGGAAUAUGCACAAUGGGCGAAAACCUGAUGCAGCGACGCCGCGCGAGGGAUGAAGGCCUUCGGGUUGUAAACCUCUUUCAGCAGGGACGAAGCGCAAGUGACGGUACCUGCAGAAGAAGCACCGGCUAACUACGUGCCAGCAGCCGCGGU
This 478-nucleotide ribosomal RNA is filed under the name uncultured soil bacterium. Its description in RNAcentral is "bacterial SSU rRNA". It matches the Rfam family "Bacterial small subunit ribosomal RNA", at positions 26 to 521 of the family's 1533-position model. The record is from RNAcentral.